This is a long non-coding RNA of Glycine soja, 633 nucleotides long. RefSeq lists it as uncharacterized. The record is from RefSeq and is a predicted model, not a curated record. Lineage: Eukaryota; Viridiplantae; Streptophyta; Magnoliopsida; Fabales; Fabaceae. The transcript has 3 exons.
GGUUCUGCCUCAAGGUAACUUAAAUAAACAUCAUCCUUCUAGAACAUUUGCUUUUAGUUAUGUCACUUGAGAAUAGUUUAAUUUGCAUUGUUGUGUUGCAUAUGUUCUGCAAUCUUUGCCCAAAAUAAGAAACUAGAUGCGGUAAUCUACUAAUCCUUUUUUUUUUAUCAUUAGGCACGAGAAGAUUUACUUGAAAGCUGCCAAGAAUUACUUGGAAAAAGGUUCUGAUUAUGCUAAGAACGAAAUCCAGUGCCUACAGCGCAUACUUGACAAGCCCAUUAGUCCUGCGAAGGCCGACGAGUUAACUCUAAAGAAAAAUAUCUUGUCGACAUAUGCUGCUUGACUUUUUGGUGCAUCAUUAACCAUCUCUCAUGGAAGCUCGUGAUCAAUCGCAGCUCCUGAUGAUUGUUUGACUUUGAUAUCGAAAUUGCUCCUGAAGUGAUGUUAGGCCUUCAAUAUGAUGAAAAGAUUGAUAUAUGGUCUCUCGGCUGUAUCUUGGCAGAGUUAUGCUCUGGUGAAGUGCUAUUUAAUUUCCAAAUAAUGCAGUUGUGAUAUGAUUCUAGCACGCAUGAUUGGAAUGUUGGUUCUAUUGAUAUGGAGAUGUAGCAUAUUAUGAGUGUCGUUGAUAUGAAC